RNAcentral lists this ribosomal RNA (321 nucleotides) under uncultured Actinomycetes bacterium. Its description in RNAcentral is "bacterial SSU rRNA". It matches the Rfam family "Bacterial small subunit ribosomal RNA", at positions 28 to 351 of the family's 1533-position model. The record is from RNAcentral. Lineage: Bacteria; Bacillati; Actinomycetota; Actinomycetes.
GACGAACGCUGGCGGCGUGCUUAACACAUGCAAGUCGAACGGUGAUGGGUGCUUGCACCCUGAUCAGUGGCGAACGGGUGAGUAACACGUGAGCAACCUGCCCCCGACUCUGGGAUAACCCCGGGAAACCGGAGCUAAUACCGGAUACGAGACGCACAGGCAUCUGUCGCGUCUGGAAAGAAUUUCGGUCGGGGAUGGGCUCGCGGCCUAUCAGCUUGUUGGUGAGGUAACGGCCCACCAAGGCGACGACGGGUAGCCGGCCUGAGAGGGCGACCGGCCACACUGGGACUGAGACACGGCCCAGACUCCUACGGGUGGCAG